UUUCUGUUUUAGCUGAAUUUGAUUUCUUUGAGCUAAUAGGAUUGGUUUCACUUUGUCAGCAGUCUCAAUUGGUUUCUUGCUGAUCAUUUCAUGAUGGGAUAUAU
Molecule: small nucleolar RNA, 104 nt
Organism: Brassica napus (rape)
Lineage: Eukaryota; Viridiplantae; Streptophyta; Magnoliopsida; Brassicales; Brassicaceae
Product: small nucleolar RNA snoR99
Exons: 1
Source: RefSeq, a predicted model, not a curated record